This 387-nucleotide ribosomal RNA is filed under the name Triticum aestivum (bread wheat). RNAcentral's name for it is "partial small subunit ribosomal RNA". Lineage: Eukaryota; Viridiplantae; Streptophyta; Magnoliopsida; Poales; Poaceae. The record is from RNAcentral.
AUGUGUUAUGCAAAUCAAGUCUCACGCACAGCGCAACUUGCUAGCCUGUUAAUCAUCGAAUAUCAUCGGCCGUACGUCCAUCAGCUGGGAGAAGACCGUCCAUUAAUCGGUAGUAGGAGCUUGUGGAGGAGGCAGCGCGGCCGACGCUGCUACAACGCUCCUCUUCAUCACCCGCUUCCAUGCCGAGGAGCUUGCUGCCCCAGCCAUGGCGAUGGUGAGGGGUUGGGAAGUGUUAAGAGGGGGGAUUACAAGGGGCUUUCUGUAAAAAAAAGAGCAACGACGACGGCCUCUAAGUUGACAUGGCAUGGGUCAACGCGUCACGCAAGCAGGUCAGCGAAAGUUCGUGCAGAAAGGACCUCACGUGAACCACUUACUAUAGAAUUAUGA